CCUUUGGCUCUUUUCAGGGCCACCAAAUAUGCGUAAGAAAGUUAAC
Aedes aegypti (yellow fever mosquito) is the source of this 46-nucleotide non-coding RNA. The record is from Rfam. NCBI's taxonomy places the organism in Eukaryota, Metazoa, Arthropoda, Insecta, Diptera, Culicidae.